CUACGUGCCAGCAGCCGCGGUAAUACGUAGGUCCCGAGCGUUGUCCGGAUUUAUUGGGCGUAAAGCGAGCGCAGGCGGUUUGAUAAGUCUGAAGUUAAAGGCUGUGGCUCAACCAUAGUUCGCUUUGGAAACUGUCAAACUUGAGUGCAGAAGGGGAGGGUGGAAUUCCAUGUGUAGCGGUGAAAUGCGUAGAUAUAUGGAGGAACACCGGUGGCGAAAGCGGCUCUCUGGUCUGUAACUGACGCUGAGGCUCGAAAGCGUGGGGAGCGAACAGGAUUAGAUACCCUGGUAGUCCACGCCGUAAACGAUGAGUGCUAGGUGUUGGGUCCUUUCCGGGACUCAGUGCCGCAGCUAACGCAUUAAGCACUCCGCCUGGGGAGUACGACCGCAAGGUUGAAACUCAAAGGAAUUGACGGGGGCCCGCACAAGCGGUGGAGCAUGUGGUUUAAUUCGAAGCAACGCGAAGAACCUUACCAGGUCUUGACAUCCCUCUGACCGCUCUAGAGAUAG
RNAcentral lists this ribosomal RNA (510 nucleotides) under uncultured bacterium. RNAcentral's name for it is "bacterial SSU rRNA". It matches the Rfam family "Bacterial small subunit ribosomal RNA", at positions 501 to 1009 of the family's 1533-position model. The record is from RNAcentral.